RNAcentral lists this ribosomal RNA (565 nucleotides) under uncultured bacterium. RNAcentral describes it as "partial 16S ribosomal RNA". It matches the Rfam family "Bacterial small subunit ribosomal RNA", at positions 355 to 911 of the family's 1533-position model. The record is from RNAcentral.
UGGGGAAUAUUGCACAAUGGGCGCAAGCCUGAUGCAGCCAUGCCGCGUGUGUGAAGAAGGCCUUCGGGUUGUAAAGCACUUUCAGCGAGGAGGAAGGUGGUGAGCUUAAUACGCUCAUCAAUUGACGUUACUCGCAGAAGAAGCACCGGCUAACUCCGUGCCAGCAGCCGCGGUAAUACGGAGGGUGCAAGCGUUAAUCGGAAUUACUGGGCGUAAAGCGCACGCAGGCGGUUUGUUAAGUCAGAUGUGAAAUCCCCGGGCUCAACCUGGGAACUGCAUUUGAAACUGGCAAGCUAGAGUCUCGUAGAGGGGGGUAGAAUUCCAGGUGUAGCGGUGAAAUGCGUAGAGAUCUGGAGGAAUACCGGUGGCGAAGGCGGCCCCCUGGACGAAGACUGACGCUCAGGUGCGAAAGCGUGGGGCAGCAAACAGGAUUAGAUACCCUGGUAGUCCACGCUGUAAACGAUGUCGAUUUGGAGGUUGUGCCCUUGAGGCGUGGCUUCCGGAGCUAACGCGUUAAAUCGACCGCCUGGGGAGUACGGCCGCAAGGUUAAAACUCAAAGGAAUU